CACAAGACUCUAUGACACACACAAGUCUAUUUAUGAUGUGAUUGAAUCACAGGGCUGAUCUGUGCACCAUGUGCAUUGAAAAACUACUUUUUGCAUCAAUUAUAGAAAUUAAUACAUAUGGACGAGAUCUAUGAAACAUUGAAGGAUGGUAUAUAGUAGGAAUGCAAUGGUGAAGUUGUGUGAAAAUGAAGUUAUUAAUAUCAAAGGUGGGUUUGUUGCCUAUCUCUCUCCAUCUCCUAAAAUCCCUUUUUCUCUUCCUAAUCUUAUUUCUUUGUAUUUUACACUUUUUUUUUUCAUUUUUUUCUUUGCUAUUGGAGAAUCAAGUUCAUAGCAUCAUCUAUAUGUAACUAUAUUCACUUCCUUUGCAAAUCAUAUUGCAUAAUUAGGAGAAUAUUAGGAGAGGAGGAACCUACAUGAAUGAUUGACAUCUCAUUGCAAGAUGUGUUUGCUUUCCAUUUUAUUUAGUUACUUCUUAAAUAAUUUUUUAAGCUCUUUUGUGUUGAUUUAGGCAUUAGUUUACUUCACUUUUGUUAUUUUGAAUUGGAUCAUUUUGAUGUUGUAUUUUUAAAUAUUACUUUACUAAACCCAAAUCCUCAAGUCAAAAUUCCCUCCAAAACAUGUGUUAAGGGGUGAAUUGUAGCUAUGGAAACAAUCAUACAUUUUCUACAAGUAAUUGAGUUUUUUA
Cicer arietinum (chickpea) is the source of this 685-nucleotide non-coding RNA. The record is from RefSeq and is a predicted model, not a curated record. NCBI's taxonomy places the organism in Eukaryota, Viridiplantae, Streptophyta, Magnoliopsida, Fabales, Fabaceae.